RNAcentral lists this ribosomal RNA (279 nucleotides) under uncultured bacterium. RNAcentral describes it as "partial 16S ribosomal RNA". It matches the Rfam family "Bacterial small subunit ribosomal RNA", at positions 506 to 784 of the family's 1533-position model. The record is from RNAcentral.
UGCCAGCCGCCGCGGUAAUACGGAGGGGGUUAGCGUUGUUCGGAAUUACUGGGCGUAAAGCGCGCGUAGGCGGACUAUUAAGUCAGGGGUGAAAUCCCGGGGCUCAACCCCGGAACUGCCUUUGAUACUGGAAGUCUUGAGACCGAGAGAGGUGAGUGGAACUCCGAGUGUAGAGGUGAAAUUCGUAGAUAUUCGGAAGAACACCAGUGGCGAAGGCGGCUCACUGGCUCGGUACUGACGCUGAGGUGCGAAAGCGUGGGGAGCAAACAGGAUUAGAUA